GAGCAUUUUACCAUAUUAGUGAAUUACAGAAGGGUCAAUGGACUGAGCCUGAGGAGACCAGAGUGCAAGUCCAGUGCCUGACUGUUGUGGUGCAAAUGAACAGGAAGCCACCAUUCUCCCAGCUUUCUGCCUACCCGCUGAAGACUGCAAGACUCAGGUCAACCGUGACCCAAACAUGGAGCUGUCGUCCCAGCAUUGUGAAUAAGGGCAGCUGGGAGUUGGAGAGAUGGGAAGUGCAAGAGUUAAGAGAAAAACAAAACUUGGCUGAUGUGUUGGUCUCUGAGGUCCCAGUGGCAGUCAGCCAACUCACAGCUGUGGCCAAGGGGAGCUUGAAAAUUAGGGAAUGAGAAGCACCUUAAAGGGAAAACUUAUCUGCUUUUUCUUCCUGAAGGAAGGGUUUUCCAUAUAGUGGUUGAAGUCAUUUUCUCUCUCACCCAAAUAAUGGGAUUUCCUGAUGUAAAUUACCUCUUAUCAGUGAAAUGUAAACAAAAAAAAGAAGAUUAAUUAGGUGAGCAAUUAUUAUAUGGCAACCACUAAGCUAUGUACUUUACAUAUGUUAAUUUGUUUAUUCCUCAAAAUAACUUCAUAAGAUAGGUAUUGAUUUCAAAGCUGAGAAAACAGAAAGUAGAGGCACAGGGAAAAGAAGUAAAUUAGCCAAAAUAGUGGAGUAGUAAGUGAAAUUGGGUUAAGAUGUAAAGUCAAGCAGCCUAGCUCAAAAGGCUGCUGUCUUAUCGAUGCUUUGCUGCUACAUAAACUUGCUUGUGUGAGGGAAGAACGAAAGCGGAGACCACAGAACAGGAGGAACACAGGAAGCAGCAGCAGCACUAUGCCAACCAGGUAAGAGAGCAGAAGAAAAGAGGGAGCAGUGUGAUGGCGCAAAUGAGCACACAGUGCAGAAAAGAAAGGUGAGGUGGAAGCACCAAGGGUAGCAGAGCCCCAGAAAUUGUGUUGUUAAAUGAAUUUUCUGAAGUCUGUAAAGACUCUUUAAGAUACAUAGCCAAUAGCCAACAAAGUGGGCACGUCCAAGAACUCAGAGGAGGUGAUGAGAAGUGAUCAAGCGGCUCCGCAUGAAGUCUCCGCUCAUGACAAGGGACAAGAACCUCUCCAACUCAGCUUUCCUAACAAGCCCAUCAUGACGUCUGGUGGUAAACGCAGUGAUUCAGAGAUCACACCAGCUAGGACCCGGUGGUCCCAUCCAGCUCUGCUACUCCCUAGCUGUGCAUGUGAUCUUGAGCCUCAGUUUCUUCAUCUAUCAAAUGGGAUUAAGACUACUCCUCAUAGAGGUAUGGUGAGAGAUAGGUGAUCCACCAUUUAUACAGUCCCUCAGAGCCUGGUACACUGAUAAGUUGUGCAGAAUAAUUAAUAAUGAAUAUUAUUACUACUAACCUUGGGUCAUCUUCUAUGAGUUAAUUUCAUCUCAGAAUCUACAAUCUUGGACUUUUGCACACAUUGGAGGCAGGUGCCUUAUAUAUGGCGUUCAUCUAUGCAAUUGUUUUUCAUGCUCUGACUAAAGAACUUAUGAUGAUAACAAGAAACACAACCUGCAAGUAAAAAGGCAACACCUAAGGGCAGUAUUUGUACUUGCUGCAGAGUAAACAGCAUAAAUACUCAAUUUCAGGUCUAUAAAUAAACUUGAAGAGGAUUGU
Pongo pygmaeus (Bornean orangutan) is the source of this 1646-nucleotide long non-coding RNA. RefSeq lists it as uncharacterized. The record is from RefSeq and is a predicted model, not a curated record. NCBI's taxonomy places the organism in Eukaryota, Metazoa, Chordata, Mammalia, Primates, Hominidae. The transcript is spliced from 2 exons.